UCAUUAAAUAUUAUAAAUUAAAUUAUAAAAUUUAGUAUAUAAAUUAAACUAAAAAAAAUAUAUAAAGAUAACUGGAAACAUACAUUCCUUUAUUGAUUCAUUUUUCACAGUACAUUGCACCUUUUCUCAACAACCUACAUUCCAUAUAUAUGUACAUAUUCCAUCAUAAAUUAGCAUCGAAAGCCUACAUGAUACACAAACUCCUACUCAAAUCUAAUACACACCCAUCUUAAUACAUCAUUUUCUUUUCUUUUCUUUUUAAUCCUUCGUCUUUCUUUCUUGGGAACUUAAUCAUUUCACUUAUUUCUUUUCUUUUUAUAUAUAUACAACAUGGGGUUUUAGUUUGCUUUGCCACACCGGCCUCCUAUCACAAAGGCUCUGAUGUGAGUGACCACCCUGG
Molecule: unclassified non-coding RNA, 400 nt
Filed under: Hevea brasiliensis (rubber tree)
Lineage: Eukaryota; Viridiplantae; Streptophyta; Magnoliopsida; Malpighiales; Euphorbiaceae
Source: RNAcentral